GUAUAUAAUAUGUAAUCAUUACAUAAUUUUGUGAGCAUUAUGGAAGAACAAAGUUACAUUUCUUUGUUAUGUAUGUAUCUCAUAACAGUUAUUUAAAAAUGUUAUCUUCUAAAAUAUAAUUUUGUGAAAAGAUAUUUUGCAGGUAAUAUUUUCACC
Molecule: long non-coding RNA, 156 nt
Organism: Vollenhovia emeryi
Lineage: Eukaryota; Metazoa; Arthropoda; Insecta; Hymenoptera; Formicidae
Exons: 3
Source: RefSeq, a predicted model, not a curated record